UGAUGGAUCCUGUUUCCUCUAUAAACCUAAAGAGUCCAAUGACUUACUGGAGUUCACUGGAUCAGACUGCGACCCCAUUUAUUCACUCUGUUGCCAUGGUAAAACUCUCUUCACUGCUUGUCGAGAUGGAGUCAUCAGAAAGUAUCAAAUUUAGGAUGAUGUAACUGUGUUGAGAUAAAAGCUGACAAGAAAACACCAGUGACUGACUGAGAAAGGUAAAAGGUCAUGACCACACGAGGGUGUUUGUAAAGAGAUCCAAAUACAGUACAUUGGGGCACCACUCUGGCACUUGGCAGAUGGCUGGCCUGUACAAUGGGCACGGUGACAGUUGAACAGUUUUGGACAAACAAAGGUUUACUCACUGCAAUUAUUAUAGCCAAAGGUGUGAAAUCCUAAUUAAAGUGAUACGGCAGGUGGUCUUAAUAUUCUGGUCGUUGCUGUUGUUUUUAGUCAUCAAACUAUAAACUUUGACUGUUUCUACCGAUAUAACAUUAUCAUCGUGUUCCCUAGUGUGGUUUUUCCCGCCUUCAAUUUCUGUAUGGAAGCCUUAUAGAAUACCUAUUUUUGUCAAGGAUUUACAGCUCUGUUUGUGCACGCAAUUAAGUUCAUCGGCAGGUUGCUUUUCUCAUGUAUUCUCAGCAGAUGUUUCGUUUUCAGUUCAGAUGAAAUCAAAAGCAAUUUGAUCUUCACCGACUGCACUCUAAGCAAAACUAGACCAGAUAAUAAUCUCAACCAAUUGUCAAAACUAGAUCAACACGUUCCAUUUUAGAGGGGAAAAUUUAGAGGGGAAAUUCACUUGAAAGAUCUCCAUAUGGGACACUGAUACUGCACUUAGCCUCUGCACCUUCCCCUAUCCUACAUAAUCCCUGCCAAAGAAAAUACAUCCCAAUAUCAGAACAGCUCUUUUAUGGCAGGGUAAUACAACACGCUCAAAAAAA
Molecule: long non-coding RNA, 938 nt
Organism: Asterias rubens (European starfish)
Lineage: Eukaryota; Metazoa; Echinodermata; Asteroidea; Forcipulatida; Asteriidae
Exons: 2
Source: RefSeq, a predicted model, not a curated record